UACGGAGGGAGCUAGCGUUGUUCGGAUCUACUGGGCGUAAAGCGCACGUAGGCGGCGCCGUAAGUCAGGGGUGAAAUCCUGGAGCUCAACUCCAGAACUGCCUUUGAUACUGAGGAUCUUGAGUACGGGAGAGGUGAGUGGAACUGCGAGUGUAGAGGUGAAAUUCGUAGAUAUUCGCAAGAACACCAGUGGCGAAGGCGGCUCACUGGCCCGUAACUGACGCUGAGGCACGAAAGCGUGGGGAGCAAACAGG
This 253-nucleotide ribosomal RNA is filed under the name uncultured bacterium. RNAcentral describes it as "partial 16S ribosomal RNA". It matches the Rfam family "Bacterial small subunit ribosomal RNA", at positions 524 to 776 of the family's 1533-position model. The record is from RNAcentral.